This 542-nucleotide ribosomal RNA is filed under the name Ascomycota sp. Its description in RNAcentral is "SSU rRNA". It matches the Rfam family "Eukaryotic small subunit ribosomal RNA", at positions 550 to 1098 of the family's 1831-position model. The record is from RNAcentral. Lineage: Eukaryota; Fungi; Ascomycota.
GGAGGGCAAGUCUGGUGCCAGCAGCCGCGGUAAUUCCAGCUCCAAUAGCGUAUAUUAAAGUUGUUGUGGUUAAAAAGCUCGUAGUUGAACCUUGGGCCUGGCUGGCCGGUCCGCCUCACCGCGUGUACUGGUCCGGCCGGGCCUUUCCCUCUGUGGAACCCCAUGCCCUUCACUGGGUGUGGCGGGGAAACAGGACUUUUACUUUGAAAAAAUUAGAGUGCUCCAGGCAGGCCUAUGCUCGAAUACAUUAGCAUGGAAUAAUAGAAUAGGACGUGUGGUUCUAUUUUGUUAGUUUCUAGGACCGCCGUAAUGAUUAAUAGGGACAGUCGGGGGCAUCAGUAUUCAAUUGUCAGAGGUGAAAUUCUUGGAUUUAUCGAAGACUAACUACUGCGAAAGCAUUUGCCAAGGAUGUUUUCAUUAAUCAGGAACGAAAGUUAGGGGAUCGAAGACGAUCAGAUACCGUCGUAGUCUUAACCAUAAACUAUGCCGACUAGGGAUCGGACGAUGUUAUUUUUUGACUCGUUCGGCGCCUUACGGGAAAC